GACGAACGCUGGCGGCAUGCCUAACACAUGCAAGUCGAACGAGACCUUCGGGUCUAGUGGCGCACGGGUGCGUAACGCGUGGGAACUUGCCCUUAGGUUCGGAAUAACUCCCCGAAAGGGGUGCUAAUACCGGAUAAUGUCUUCGGACCAAAGAUUUAUCGCCUUUGGAUGGGCCCGCGUUGGAUUAGCUAGUUGGUAGGGUAAAAGCCUACCAAGGCGACGAUCCAUAGCUGGUCUGAGAGGAUGAUCAGCCACACUGGGACUGCGACACGGCCCAGACUCCGACGGGAGGCAGCAGUGGGGAAUAUUGGACAAUGGGCGAAAGCCUGAUCCAGCAAUGCCGCGUAAGAGAUGAAGGCCUUAGGGUUGUAAAGCUCUUUUACCCGAGAUGAUAAUGACAGUACCGGGAGAAGAAGCACCGGCUAACUCCGUG
Molecule: ribosomal RNA, 433 nt
Filed under: uncultured bacterium
Lineage: Bacteria
Description: partial 16S ribosomal RNA
Rfam family: Bacterial small subunit ribosomal RNA
Source: RNAcentral